CUACUGAGCCGGCCGCAGAAAUUGCAGCCGCUCAGCUUCUACCCCCUCCUGCCUUUCCUUCCUCUUUCCUUACUUCCUUCCCUUCCCUCGGCUUCCCGCUCUUGCCUCACUCUCAGCGGCUGCCUUCGCCCCUGUCUGCAGACAGCGCCGCUGGAUGCUCCCAGCUGGACUUCAACCCCACUCCUCUCAGUCCCUCUCCCCACUGCCUUCCAGACGCGCCUCUUCCCCGCCCCGCGCCCCUCUCUCCUCUCCCACCCCUGCCCCUCUCCGCGGCGCUCACCCUCCUCAGUCCCAGUUUCUGAAAGGACUCAGCUGAGAAAGGACAACUGGGUUCCGCUUUCCUUAACCCUACACCCUUUAGCUGGAUGCUGUCAGAGGCGAUGGAGAAACGCAAAGGCUACUAGACGCAACAAUAGAAUUACCAUAUUGUUUUUCCUGGUUUGAAAGGACCAGAUGGAAAGAAACUGGGCAAGCCAAUGAAAGUCUCUGGGGAUCAUGGGAAUUGAGUGUCUAUGAAAACCAUAUUCCAGACAAGAAUAUAGUCUAAGGUUUAUGGGACUCCCCAGUACUCUCCAUGUAGAGUCUAAUGUAGAAUCCAGGAGUGCACAGAAAAGUCACUGGAUGACACAGCAAGAGGCAACAUUUUGGAAGCAGAGGGCAACUCUCACUGGAAACCAAAUCUCCUGGCACCUUGAUCUUGGAUUUUACAGCCUCCAGAACUUUCUCACACUUCCUUUUGAAAGCUAUUAAAAAUCUAUGGCAGAAAAAUGGUCAAGGAAUAGGAACUACAACUUCAUAAAUGAGGAACCAGAAAAGGAUAGCUGGGAGGCAUUACAUAGUCAUGUGCGAGGUCAAAACUGAGUCACCACCACAACCAAGUUCCAGCUGGCAAGAAGAGGAAAAAUAACACAGAGGAGUUAUGACCAGUGUUGUAAGGAUCUGGCCUAGAAAUGGCAUGCAUCUCUUCCACUAAUAUCCUAUUGGUAAAAAUGUAGUCACAUGGGCACACCACCUAUCUGCAUGGAAGGCUGGGAAAUGUUGAUCGGUAGGGCAGCCAUAUGUGUAGGAAGGAGAAAACAGAAUUUGGUGGAUACCUAGUAGUCUCUGCCAUACCCUUGACCAGAAAUUUUUCUUCUAAAGAAUUUAAUUCUAAAAGUUAUAGACAUUCCCAAAGAUAUACCUGCAAGCAUCACAGCUUUGUGUAUAAUUGCAAAAGUUGAAAUCAACAUGAAUGCCCAAAAUAGUGAAUUAUUUAAACAGAUUAUUACCCAUAUUAUGAAGAAAUACUCUGCAACUCUUAAAAAUAAAUGUAAUGUGCCAGGCGCAAUGGGAUAUGCCUGCAGGCCCAGCUACACGGGAGGCCAAGGCAGGAGGAUCACUUGAAAUCAAGAGUUCAAGUCUAGCCUAGACAACAUAGUGAGACUUGGUCUCUAAAAAAGAAAAAAAAAAAUAAAACUGAUGUAAUGAAUAUAUAAUUACAACAAAAGAGGUCUAACACUAUAGUAGAAAAGUUUGGGGCACUCAUCCCAUUCAUAAUUAUUUUACAUUUAAAUUACUGUUCCUACUUAAGUGGUGAGCUUGGUAACCAUUUUCAUAUCAGGUGAUACUGCUGCAGUAAUCAUAGCUGUUUGAAUCAGGAAUAAUCCCAAUCACAUUUUCUCUUAAUCGUUUAUUAUACUGGGCAUUGGGGUUGCAAGAUAAUGCACAGUCCGAGCUCAAUACAUGUCUUCAUGUACCUGUAUGUAAAUCCCACUUUUAUUCUAAAAUUCUUUGAAUAUUUUGUUUCUUGGAACCCAAUGAUCCUAAGAAAAUUAUGUACUUUUACCUGAAAAUUAAAACCAAUAUUUAUAAAAAGUGUAUAUGCAGUAUGAUACCACUUUUAAAAAAAGAUAAAUUUAUAGAAAAAAGUUUAUAUGACUGACAACAAUGUCUCUGAGUGGUAGGAUUACAGUUAAUUUUUAUUUUCUUCAUUCUACUUAUCUUUAUUUUCUGAACUUUCUACAAUGAACAUGUUUUAUUUUUACUUUUGUUAAAAUAAAUAACAUUUAAUUUGACGGAAAAUUCUAAAAAUCAACAUUUGGUAACUUAAAUAUUCAUUGGCACAUGAUUCUGUGCCUGUUUCUGGGGGUCAUUCCCAUGAGAAGAGCAGGUAGAACUUAUGAGAAUAGAGCAGUCGAAAUAUUAUAGGUUUCAUAUUUUACGGCUUUAUUGAAAACAUUGAUAUAUUGAAUAUUCAUAAAUUUUAAUUUAACUUUCUUUUAUAAUCCUUAAUGUGAGGCUAAGGUAUAAGGAGAAAGGAGAUUGGUAAGGAAGUGUGAUACAUAUUGAAUCAGGUGUCAAGGUACCAUUUGUGCCUGGAUCUGACCAAUAGACCAAGGUAAAAAUCUCAAAGAAUGAGACUUGUAAUGAGAAUGCCACAAACUUGAAUACCUUAUGCACAAAACACAAACAUUGUUAUGCAUAAUGUACAUGAACCCUGAAACAAAGAUAAUGAUUUGGACCACCCAACUGAAGUGGCAUGUUAUGUUUUUGGCAUGAACAAAAGAAACAAGAGAGAAAAAAAUCAAAAUAAUUAAAAUAAAUUGUUAGAGAAAAGUUACUUUAAAAAUAGCUAUAACGCUUUGCAAUUUCAGUAACAGUUCUGCCUCUGAUGCAAUGUAAAACAUGUAUUAGACAUUCAGGCUCCACAAUAAAUUUUAAUGAGCACUACAAAUUUAGAAUAUAUAAAAAUAUCAGUAACCUAUGAAUUCAUCAACAUAACUCACUUUUCAGUUAAGUUAGGCUGAGUUGAAAUUCUACUAAGUUUUCCCAUAUUCUUGAUAAAGGCUAAAUUUGAAAUAAUUUAUUUAGAUGACUAAUUGGCAAUUUGAUAGUAGUUACAUUUUAUGUAACACUUGAUAUAAUAACCCAAAUUAAUUAGCUCAAUAUUAUCUUCUGUGGUUUAUUGAUCCAAAAGUACAUAUUUGUUAUGUAAACUUAUACUAUGUAAACUUGAAUUAGUUUUUUGCUUCCUUGAAUUAAUAAAGCCCAUUAAUGCAAAUCUAAGCCUUCAUAGACUUUUCCAAUCCUUAGUUAAAUAUUAAAAACUGAGUAUUGUAGUUAUUUGCUAGGUAUAAAAGGUGACUCAGAGUAGAGAGUAAGAUGUCAGCAAAUAGACAAUAAGAUGUCAGCAAAAGUGCCUCAAAUUUUAACUGCGUCAAGUUAAGGGCAUUGUAAAUACUGUAGUUUUAUGUAGCUUGCAACUUCUACUGAAAUGAGUUUAAUCAUGUCUUUCACAUAGCUGAAGUUUGUGUCAAGAUUUAAGCUGAUUUUCUCAUUCUUAUCAAAGUCUCACCUGGGGGUAGGGAGGGGUAGGCCUACCUCCCACCUCUAUACUAUCAUUUUAGGAACAGACAGGCAUAAAUCUGUUCAUAUGGUAGAACACAUGAUGUUAGAGUAUAUUUUGUUGAAUGCUAUGGAAUAUUAAUAUAAUUAAUUCUAAAAUAUCACCUAAAAUAUGUCAACUGAAGAUCUGACUGUACUAAAUAUGAAAAAUAAAGCAGCACAUACUUUC
Long non-coding RNA from Homo sapiens (human), 3553 nucleotides. RefSeq annotates it as WDFY3 antisense RNA 2. The transcript has 6 exons. The record is from RefSeq and is marked validated. NCBI's taxonomy places the organism in Eukaryota, Metazoa, Chordata, Mammalia, Primates, Hominidae.